RNAcentral lists this ribosomal RNA (1442 nucleotides) under uncultured bacterium. RNAcentral describes it as "bacterial SSU rRNA". It matches the Rfam family "Bacterial small subunit ribosomal RNA". The record is from RNAcentral.
AGAGUUUGAUCCUGGCUCAGGAUGAACGCUGGCGGUGUGUCUAAGGCAUGCAAGUCGAACGAUCUCUUCGGAGAGAGUGGCAAACGGGAGAGUAACACAUUGGUAACCUACCCCAUACUCGGGCAUAAUCUUGCGAAAGCGGGACUAAUACCCGAUAGACUCCAACUUCAUAAGUGUGUUGGAGUAAAGCUCCGGCGGUAUGGGAGGGGCCUAUGGCUUAUCAGCUUGUUGGUGAGGUAAAAGCUCACCAAGGCAACGACGAGUAGCGGGCGUGAGAGCGUGGCCCGUCUCACGGGGACUGAGAUACUGCCCUGACUCCUACGGGAGGCUGCAGUCAAGAAUCUUCCACAAUGGCCGAAAGGCUGAUGGAGCGACACCGCGUGCAGGAAGACGCCCUUCGGGGUGUAAACUGCUUUUACAAGGGACGAACAAAUGACGGUACCUUUUGAAUAAGGGGUUGCUAACCUCGUGCCAGCAGCAGCGGUAAUACGAGGGCCCCAAGCGUUAUCCGGAUUUACUGGGCGUAAAGCGUCCGCAGGCGGUUUGGUAAGUUUUUAGUGAAAUACCGAGGCUCAACCUCGGGCCCGCUAAAGAUACUGCCAAACUAGAGACUGGAAGAGGUAAGCGGAACUGCCGGUGUAGCGGUAAAAUGUGUUAAUAUCGGCAGGAACACCAAAGGCGAAGGCAGCUUACUGGUACAGUUCUGACGCUAAUGGACGAAAGCGUGGGGAGCGAAAGGGAUUAGAUACCCCUGUAGUCCACGCCGUAAACGAUGAAUGCUAGAUAUUCGGAGUAUCGACCCUCUGAGUGUCGUCUAAAAAAGCUAACGCGUUAAGCAUUCCGCCUGGGGAGUACGGCCGCAAGGCUAAAACUCAAAGGAAUAGACGGGGACCUGCACAAGCGGUGGAGCAUGCGGUUUAAUUCGAUGAUAAGCGAGGAACCUCACCAAGGUUUGACAUAUAGCUGCACGCCCUAAGAAAUUAGGGCUCCUUCGAGGGUGCUAUACAGGUGCUGCAUGGUUGCCGUCAGCUCGUGGCGUGAGCUGUUCCCUUAAUUGGGGUAACGAGCGCAACCCCCAUCUUGUGUUGAAUUGUUCACAAGAAACUGCCCCGGGAUACGGGGAGGAAGGCGGGGACGACGUCAAAUCAGCAUGGCCCUUACACCUUGGGCUACACGCAUGCUACAAUGGCCGGUACAAAGGGCUGCCAAGUCGUAAGACGGAGCUAAUCCCAUCAAAACCGGUCCCAGUUCGGAUUGAGGUCUGCAACUCGACCUCAUGAAGUUGGAAUCGCUAGUAAACGCGCAUCAGCCUCGGCGCGUUGAAUACGUUCUCAGGUCUUGUACUCACCGCCCGUCACAUCAAGAGAGUCGCGAAUACCCGAAGCUCCAUUAAGGAUCUACGGUAGGCGUGAUGAUAGGGAUGAAGUCGUAACAAGGUAACC